CAUUUCUUUCAUUAUUCAACACCGAUUCUUAUCUUCUCUUUCUUUCUUUCUUUCUUUCUUUCUCUCUCUCUCUCUCACACACACACACAAGUCUUCAUCGUUGUUGCUUCGUCUUCACGGUGGCGGUGCCUUCGCCAGGCAAAGCAUCCACAAGAGAUUGAGAGAUCCUCCAACCUCUCCUUCGAUGAUCAGAACUACAUCGGUGUGCCAUUAUCUCCGUCGAUGAUUCCCCAGCCUCCCUCCCCUCUCUGCUAACCAUCGAUAACAGAGAUCUGAUCCACCUAUAUCCCUUCGAAUUGAUUUCUACGUCUGCCUCUAGGCCUUCAUUUUGACUUCAAGGUGAAGCCACUGUUCAUAAUUGAAUCGAUUUAUGCGUAAUAAACUGUGCUGAAACUUAAAAUUUUAGAAAUGAGUGUGGUUGGGUUUGAUAUUGGGAAUGAAAACUGUGUAAUCGUUGCAGCAAAAAACUGUGGGAUUGAUGUAUUAUUGAAUGAAAAAUCAAAUCGCAAGACACCUGUUGUGGUGAGUUUUGGUGAGAAGCAAAAGUUUUUGGGUUCUGCUAGAGUUGCAUCUGCUACUAUGAAACCUAAAUCUAAUAUUCUCAAGUUAAAAGGUUAAUUGGAAGUGAAUACAAGAAUCCACUAGUGCAGGAUGAUCUUAAGUUACUACCUUUUGAAACCAGUGAAGCUUCUGAUGGUGGUGUUUUGAUUCUCGUACAAUACUUGAAUGAGAAACACACUUAUAGACCUAUGCAGAUUUUGGGAACGUUGAAAACCAUGUUACAAGCUGUGUGACCGGGAUUCCAUCAUAUUUCAUAGACUUACAAAGGAAUCCACAAGUGGAUUUGCAAGCUCAGGAUCGUGCUCACAAAAUUGGGCAGAAGAAAGAAGUUCAAGUGUUUCGAUUUUGCACAAAGAUUCCUUUAGCUUCUUUCCUUUCCAUUUGAUUAAUAGUUGAAAUGUUUGUUUGCUAAUUUUAAUCGACUAUAAACAGUACACUAUAGAGGAUAAAAGUCAUUGAAAUUGUGGUAUACUUACGCUAUUAUAGAUGACAAGGCUGCUCGACAUUCUAGAAGAUUACUUGAUGUUUCGUGGAUAUUUAUACUAUCGUAUUGAUGGAAACACUGGAGGUGAAGAUUGUGAUGCCUCUAUUGACGCUUUUAAUAAACCAGAAAGUGAAAAGUUUGUGUUUUUAUUAUCAACAAGAGCUGGAGGCCUUGGUAUCAAUCUUUCCACUGUAGAUAUUGUCAUUUUGUAUGAUAAUGACCGAUUUGGAAGAAAUUUAUGGUGAAUAUUGAAGAGGUGAAAAAUGAUAAAUUGAAGAAAAUAAGGAAAUAUCGACACGAAGACGAAAAUGCUUUGAAAUUUGUAGCAUUUUUUAUUUUUUUGUAUUUUAUUUUGUAUCAAAAAAAAUACUUGUACUAUUAUGUUUAUAGAUUAAUUAAAAAAAUGAGAUUUUUUGUGAUUUA
Long non-coding RNA from Lactuca sativa (garden lettuce), 1468 nucleotides. RefSeq lists it as uncharacterized. The record is from RefSeq and is a predicted model, not a curated record. NCBI's taxonomy places the organism in Eukaryota, Viridiplantae, Streptophyta, Magnoliopsida, Asterales, Asteraceae.